AUGCGAGUCGAGAGGGGUUAAGCCCUCGGCGAACUGCUCAGUAACACGUGGGUAAUCUACCCUCAGGACAGGGAUAACCCCGGGAAACUGGGGAUAAUACCUGAUAGGUGAAGAUGUCUGGAACGAUUCUUCGCUCAAAGCUCCGGCGCCUGAGGAUGAGCCUGCGCCUGAUUAGGUUGUUGGCGGUGUAACGGACCACCAAGCCUGAGAUCAGUACGGGCACUGAGAGGUGUAGCCCGGAGAUGGGGUCUGAGACACGGCCCCAGGCCCUACGGGGCGCAGCAGGCGCGAAAACUCCGCAAUACGCGAAAGCGUGACGGGGGGACCCUAAGUGCGUCAUCGCAAGAUGAUGCUUUUUUAGAGUGUAAAUAGCUUUAAGAAUAAAAGCGGGGUAAGACCGGUGCCAGCCGCCGCGGUAACACCGGCCGCUUGAGUGGUGAUCGCUAUUAUUGGGCCUAAAGCGUUCGUAGCCGGUUUGGUAAGUCCUUGGGUAAAUCCUGACGUUCCAAGUUAGGAAUUCUAGGGAUACUGCCUGACUCGGGGCCGAGAGAAGUCGGAGGUACUCCUGGGGUAGUGGUGAAAUACUGUAAUCCUGGGGGGACCACCAGUGGCGAAGGCGUCCGACUAGAGCGGGCUCGACGGUGAGGAACGAAAGCCAGGGGAGCGAACGGGAUUAGAUACCCCGGUAGUCCUGGCCGUAAACGCUGUGGGCUAGGUGUUGCAUGCUCUAC
This 731-nucleotide ribosomal RNA is filed under the name uncultured archaeon. RNAcentral describes it as "bacterial SSU rRNA". It matches the Rfam family "Archaeal small subunit ribosomal RNA", at positions 51 to 786 of the family's 1478-position model. The record is from RNAcentral.